CUAAUAAUGACCAGCAAAGAUGGAUUGGCUUACAGCUUCAGAACAUAUAUCAAUCCCUAGCAGUUACAAAGAAUGUCAGGACAGUCGAUUACUUAGAGUGAGAGAGGUUGGCCGACCGAUGAGGAGAUUGUUGUUCUCAUUAGUAGGCUGAACCAAUUUGCAUCUAAGUCAUAUACGUCAAGAAAAUAUUUAUUGAGAGC
RNAcentral lists this long non-coding RNA (200 nucleotides) under Elaeis guineensis (African oil palm). RNAcentral describes it as "long non-coding RNA (EGUI_LNC023655)". The record is from RNAcentral. Lineage: Eukaryota; Viridiplantae; Streptophyta; Magnoliopsida; Arecales; Arecaceae.